This 321-nucleotide ribosomal RNA is filed under the name uncultured eukaryote. Its description in RNAcentral is "partial 18S ribosomal RNA". It matches the Rfam family "Eukaryotic small subunit ribosomal RNA", at positions 1470 to 1796 of the family's 1831-position model. The record is from RNAcentral.
CCCUUAGAUGUCCUGGGCCGCACGCGCGCUACACUGACAUGUUCAACAAGCCUCCUAGUUCGACAGGAUUUGGGAAAUCUUUGAACGCAUGUCGUGAUAGGGAUAGAUCAUUGCAAUUAUUGAUCUUGAACGAGGAAUUCCUAGUAAACGCGAGUCAUCAGCUCGCAUUGAUUACGUCCCUGCCCUUUGUACACACCGCCCGUCGCACCUACCGAUUGAAUGUUUCGGUGAAGAUUCCGGAUAGGACUUUUUUGAUUUACUUCAAUUUUGUCUUAAAAGCUAUCUAAACCUCAACAUUUAGAGGAAGGUGAAGUCGUAACA